Non-coding RNA from Leptonychotes weddellii (Weddell seal), 785 nucleotides. Lineage: Eukaryota; Metazoa; Chordata; Mammalia; Carnivora; Phocidae. The record is from RefSeq and is a predicted model, not a curated record.
CCCAUCCCGCAACCCCAUCCUGGCCCCAGGAGCCGUGGUCCCUCCCGGCCGGCCGUCCCCGGGGAGGUGACAAGCAGCGCGAACGGCCUUAUAGAUGAUGGCACUUGGACGGGCAGUCAGGACAGAGCUGGAGAAAAGUGGAUGGGACAAGCUCUGUACCAGCAGGAUUUCUAGCCUCAGCAGGAAUGAGGAAAGCGUGGAAACAGCCCUUGGGGGAUCUGGGGAAGGGGACACUGGCCGGCCGCCGUCACUGCCUUCCUGUCCCACUCCAGAGGGCUGAGUCUACGAAGAGAUUUGAAAAGCCCAAGCUGGUGAAAAGUAUCCUGUUGGCUCCUCCAAAAGUUGGAACCCAACUGUUCUCAGCCCUCCUCCGCUCCCACUCUGGCCCACAGCAUUGUCAUCACUCUCCUGGAACAUGGCAAGUGUCCUGAAAGGUCACCCACACUGCAGCCAGAGGAGUCCUGAUAAAACUACAUCAGAUCAUGUCCCUUUUCUGUUCAAAACGUGCUGGCAUGAACACACUGGCCUCUCGCGUCGAAGGACCUGGCCCCUGCUUCCUCUUGGCCCCACUCUCCCACGCCCUCCUUGCUCCCACCAUCCUGGCCACCCCAGUGCAGGUCCCACCCCAGGAUCUUUGCAUGUGUUGUUUCCUCUGAGUGCAAGGUUCUUCCCCAGAUUUUCCAUUCAUCUUCCUCCCUUACUUCUUCAGGUCUUUUCUCAAAUCUUAGCUUCUCACUGAGGUUUGUCCAUGCCAGCUUAUUAAAAAUGCAACACCAUCCCCCUCA